GCACAACUUUUCUGAUGAAAUACUUCAAGCCUCCAGGCCCCUGGUAACAGAAUAACAAAGCGAUGACACACGUCCCUCAAGCUUCCAAGCAGCAACAUGGGGGCUUAACUUUUUAAUCAACGUUUUAAAAAUCACAGCGAUGUUUCUUAGCCAGAGACACUGAGCACAGCUGUGGGUGCGGUUCUCUAAGAGCCGCCCGGGUGCAGACGUGCUCACAAUCCACGACCCCCGCAGGCGGAGCCCUGGCUCCAGCCCAUCGGGCCGCGGGCUUCCCCUCCCCCGCCCCGCUCCCACCCGCAGGCCUCAGCGCUGACGUCACCGGCGCUCACGAGGCCCAGCCGACGCCCGAGGAGUCACGCGCUGCCGCUCCACCCCCACCCCCGCCGCUAGGGAGUGAUGCGCCCUCUGCAGAGAUCCCUCCGCGGCCGCCGCCUGGAAUUUUCCAGACGCUCUGCCGGCGCUUCUUUCGGACUUCUGCUGGGCAGGGGUGACCUGAGGCGACCCCCAGCAGUUCCCUUCGCUUCCAGAGAGCAGCACCAACCCGCCUCAUCCACUCCCCACCCACACCUCCCCUCAAGGAACAGGAAGCCUGCCAACCCUCGGCUCCAUCACAGGCUGAGAAGGGGAUUUCUCUCCCCAUCCUCGUCCCCGUUGGAAUCCGCCUCCCCCCCAAGACAAAGGGUUGUGAGCCUGCCUGGGGAUGAGGCCUCAUGUGGUGGAAGCUGCCCUUAGCUUCGCGGAGCUGACAGCUCUGGCCCAGGGCGGUGGCAGUGCUCCCCUUUGGACUUUUCCUCUAGGUUCUGCGCUAACCUGUUCUGCGAGCUCAC
This 827-nucleotide long non-coding RNA is filed under the name Bos indicus x Bos taurus (hybrid cattle). RNAcentral's name for it is "lncRNA (ENSBIXG00000009651.1)". The stretch from base 658 to 772 matches the Rfam family "Nuclear enriched abundant transcript 1 conserved region 1". The record is from RNAcentral. Lineage: Eukaryota; Metazoa; Chordata; Mammalia; Artiodactyla; Bovidae.